RNAcentral lists this long non-coding RNA (1536 nucleotides) under Marmota monax (woodchuck). Lineage: Eukaryota; Metazoa; Chordata; Mammalia; Rodentia; Sciuridae. The record is from RNAcentral.
AGGAGGGAGCGUGUGCGUGCUUUAUUGCCAGAUUUGUUCCCUUUAUAUAUCUUUUUAACAGCUGCGGGAAAUUACUCAAAAGUGAGGAGGGAAGAGUAAUAACUGCGUCCUUGGGUUACCGUCACGUCACCGUCCCCUAUCAGGAGGCUCGAACAGGUCAAGAUGUUCCCGAGACACAUAUGUGCGAGGCAGAUAAACAGGGAACUGCAAGCCCACGUCAUGGCCAUGUGAGCUGGCCACAUUGACAUGCAUAACAAAGAACUGGGGGUUGAGUCCCCAGGGGCCAGGGCGGGCCUGCUAUCAGCAAGUCCGCCUUUUUUGUUUUUUGCAUGUCAAUGGGAAUCAAGUAGCCCCUGUCUUAGGUCGUCUACCGCCCCUGCAAUGCUUACCCAUCUCUGGGGAGGCCCCAUUCCCCUGGCUUAGGUUGCAGUGCAAGCGUGGAAGUUGCCCGUCACUGGGUAAUACAAGAUCAGCUCUUGUCCUAUGUAAACGGACACUUUUCAGUUAGGAUGUCAUGGCCAGCAGGACACAACUGCGGAUCCCAGUCAUCAUCUUUGCCAGUGGGAUAGCUAUGACCAGGGAGCAUUCUGAACGUAAGGGUCUGGGAUGACGGCACCAAGUGGGCAGGGUAAUUAGGGACCUGGGCAAAAGCAGGCAUACAUAGGAGGGCUCGGGUAUUGGCUCCUGUCCAGUUACAUCUCAUCUCCGGAUGGGUCGUAAGUACACCUCGUGGGCUGAGUCGUCCAUCUCCAGGCGUUGGUAGUGAACCUGUAUUGGCUUGGAGGUUAAAAUGUUAAUCUGGUCCUUAAUGAAUUGAGUUAUCCUAUUUGCAACACAAGGUCCCAAGGUUGCAAUCAAAAGAAGACCUAGUAAGGGCCCCAGGAGGGGAAGAAGGUAGGGCAGGAACCCAUUCAUCCCAGUCCAAAGAGGGUUCUCAAAUAAUUCUUUUCUCCUUUUCUCUAGGUCUUCUUGAAGCUCCUUGAUUUUAGUGCGAACUAUGCCUGAUUUAUUGGCAUAGAAACAGCACCUUUCUCCUAAGGCUAAACAGAUUCCCCCCUGAUUGGCAGUCAGUAAGUCUAGGCCUCGCCUAUUUUGGAGGACCACUUCUGCCAAAGAGUCAAUUUGGUCUUGUAGGUCUUUAAUGGUGCCAGAUAGGGUCUGCACAUCAUCUAUAAGCUGUUGAGAUAGACGGCGAUAAGAAUGUAUAGCUGUACCCAGUCCAGCUGUGCCUGUGCCCACAGCAGCGGUUAUUCCAAGGCCAACAAGGAGUGGUAAGGCCUGAACAGCUCUCUUGUGUCUUCUAACUAGGGUGUCUAGGCUAGGAAUGGGUAGGGGUUCAUCUCCUGAGAUAAUUGUGAUAUCAGGAAGCAGUAAUGCCAGAAUGCAACCACCAGUCCAAUUUGCUGGGAGCCUGGGAAAAGCUAAAUUUCCACCACACAUAAAAACUGUACCAUUAGGGGGACAAAUGGGCGGAGUAGGUGAGGAGUAAUUCUUUACUAAUGAGCAGUUUCCAAAGGAAGAGAUUCCAACAUCAAC